This 250-nucleotide ribosomal RNA is filed under the name uncultured bacterium. Its description in RNAcentral is "partial 16S ribosomal RNA". It matches the Rfam family "Bacterial small subunit ribosomal RNA", at positions 355 to 597 of the family's 1533-position model. The record is from RNAcentral.
UAGGGAAUAUUGGACAAUGGGCGCAAGCCUGAUCCAGCCAUGCCGCGUGAGUGAAGAAGGCCCUCGGGUUGUAAAGCUCUUUUGUUGGGGAAGAAAAGCAGUUGGUUAAUACCCGAUUGUUCUGACGGUACCCAAAGAAUAAGCACCGGCUAACUUCGUGCCAGCAGCCGCGGUAAUACGAAGGGUGCAAGCGUUACUCGGAAUUACUGGGCGUAAAGCGUGCGUAGGUGGUUGUUUAAGUCUGAUGUGA